CGCGGGGUGGAGCAGCUUGGUAGCUCGUCGGGCUCAUAACCCGAAGGCCGUCGGUUCAAAUCCGGCCCCCGCAACCA
RNAcentral lists this transfer RNA (77 nucleotides) under Stutzerimonas stutzeri. RNAcentral's name for it is "Pseudomonas stutzeri tRNA-Met(cat)". It matches the Rfam family "tRNA". From Rfam's summary of the family: Transfer RNA (tRNA) molecules are approximately 80 nucleotides in length. Their secondary structure includes four short double-helical elements and three loops (D, anti-codon, and T loops). The record is from RNAcentral. RNAcentral also lists the same sequence under 179 other names. Lineage: Bacteria; Pseudomonadati; Pseudomonadota; Gammaproteobacteria; Pseudomonadales; Pseudomonadaceae.